Molecule: long non-coding RNA, 3013 nt
Organism: Lynx canadensis (Canada lynx)
Lineage: Eukaryota; Metazoa; Chordata; Mammalia; Carnivora; Felidae
Exons: 6
Source: RefSeq, a predicted model, not a curated record
CGAAGUCGGACACUCAACCGAGUGAGCCGCCCAGGCGCCCCUGUUCAAAUAUUCUAAGCCUGCUGAAGUUAUCUUCUGCACAUCCUAACAUCGGAGCUCCUGUUCACGAUGUUCACGGAGCCCUUUUCUGGUGGCUUGUGGCCCGCGGUGGUUGCUGUCCUCUGGUCUUGUCCUUUAGGUUUCCAUGUGGCCGGGACACGCCUGUGGGACUCUCCUGACCCUGUGCUAAGACUACGUUCGUACCGAAGGAUUUUCUUUUGCUUCUGCCACUCGCCCCCGUGGCUCCGUCAGCUCAGAGCUCUUUAGGCGAAUUUCCCAGCUCGAUGCAUCUCAGGACACGCGAAUGCGAAUUCAGACCGCAAAGUUUAUUUGAGGCAGGCGAGGUGGCAUAAAUUCUCCGAGGGGCCUUUUUCUCCUCCCAGUUCUGGCGCAGGCACGGCGGUUCCUAGAAGCUCACCCCCAGCCCCCUGCUGCCCUCUCUGCUGGACGAUGACCCUGCCCUGCCGUGACUACGUGGCCGUCUGUGCUCACUCCCGCCGCUGAGACGAGUGCACCCGGGGACGCCGUGGCGUUGCACGGCGUUAGCACAGGCGGCCCACCCGGGACAGGGUCUCCUUCUUGAGGCUGUCUCCUGGGCAGGAGGGUUCGGACGGCUGCCUCUCUGGCUGCAGGGCUCCUGGUGGUGUGUUGCAAGGAUUCCGGUUUCCGUUCCUCGUCUUGUGUGGCUCCGAGACCCCGUCUAACCUAAUGCAAAUUAAAUGCUAACCGCACACAUGCAGGUUUUCGGCAAAGGCUCAGCUCCCGUGUCCAGGCUCACGUAAGACAGCGCUCCUCAGCCCCACAGGGCACAGCCACAUGCUGUGUUAAUUCCAGUUACAUAUGAGAGGAGGAGACGUGUGAGUUGCCGGGCCGCACAGGGGGACGCCCGUACGCGGCGAGGGGGUCCUCUCCCCCGCUGGGGUGACGGUGGCGGGCAGCUGCUGCGGGGCCAGCCACAGACGGGAGCCGGCCAGAUGCCGAGUCACGGAUGGGGACGGCCCCCGGGUGCGGCAACACCGUUCGUAGAGCCGAGUUGCAGGUGUACAACGUGACGACUGGACACGAGUGACGGGAUCGCUUGUCGGCCGCAGCAAAGCACAGCCUGUCCCUAGCGGUUGCCCAAAAUCCUGGUUACUGAAUUGGGCCGCGUCCUCCUGGCUGUCCAUCCACCACUGUGAUAUUCUCCUCCUGCUUUAUUUUUGGACCCUAGGCAUUUCCCUGUUUCUUGAAAGCUUCUCUAUGGGCUCAAGUUGCUUAAAAAAAAAAACAAAACAAAACCCAGUGAGGCUUUUCACUAUGGAGUCCAUAAUAGCGAUGGAAAAUUAUCUCCAAAGUGAGAUUUUAAAAAGCAGACUUUAAUGCCGUAGGUGUAAUAAAUACAUCGGCGGAGAGAAAAUUAUAAAAAUGUCCCUGAAGAAAGAACGUGAAAAGUUCCAUGGGAACAUGAAGAAACAAAGUUCCCAUAUCCAGGUUUUUCACUGUUUUGUCCUGUGUCAUCGAAGGCCAAUCUGAAAAUACACGGGGUGUGGAUUUAGGAGCAGUAGACAGAAUUAUCGCCAGGGUCUGUGAAGCAGGACGUGAGGGCAGCUUCUGGAAGGUUCCACGCCCUGCAUGCUGAGAGGCAGCUGCUGUCCCCCUCUGGCCACCGCGGAAGGCUGUCACCGCCCUCCUGUGCCCUGGGCACCGUUUCUGCUCACCCCGUGGGCCUCCCCAGGAUGGCUUCCGUCUGUUCACGUCAGCGUCCCCGUGCGGAGGCUGCGAGCCGGCCUGGGAAACCUUCCCUGUCCUCCCUCCCCAGACCCAGGAGGGCGUGCCUUGCUCUCCUUGAUCUCCCCCUGCAAGAGCCAGCAAGACUUUCCUCUGGGGUUCUGAGAGAAGAGAGGCUGGUCCCAGGCCUGUCUGCUCCUGAGCCCCCAGCCCAGCCCCUUGCGGGCUCUCAGCGGGACCAGUUCCCACGGUGGUUUCCUUAAUCUUCGUACUGCUGGCCAUAUUUGGGAUCUGCCUGGGCCAGUGUGGGCAUAUGGGCGGAACAUUCCCUAGCGUGAAUGUACUGGGACCCCAUCAUGUAGGGCCUUCCUGACACGAGUACAUGUUUGUCUGCCCAGCAUCCCUGGCACCUGCUGGAGACACUGUCUUCACCGUUCUGCAGUAAUCCUCAUUGACCCCCCGAUGUCCUCACCCUGCUCGAGAAUGAGCAUCUGUCCAUGGACCUAUAUAAGGUGACAACUGCCUUUCUUGCCAUGUGAAGUGAACGCCUCGAGACCACAGGUAAUGUGGAGGAACACCAAGCUCAGGGAUGGAGAGGAGCUCGGACCACAUCUCUACAGCUGCUGGAUCCAGCCAUGCCUGAAGACUUAUCAGUCGGAAUCGUUAUAUUUACCCUCAACAUCUCUAAGAAAAUACGGGUCAAAGACUAGUGAGGGCCACACCAUGUUUCGUUUAAGAAAUCAUCUACUGGCAAAGAAUUUUUCUCCCCGUAAUACACUUGUUCGUCCCCUCCAUUCAUUCCUUCGCUGCGGGAAAUCAGGCUGACGAAGUUGCAAAGGUCGCAUCGCGCUCAGUAGAAGCUGCACCUGUCUGCCUCCCAUGAAAUGCAAGCCAGAGAGCUGGACGCAGGAUGGACAUCACGGAUGAGAGGGGUCUGGGCCCUGGGCCGGCUGCACGUGUGUGUCCCCUGACGCAGAGAAUACGUCACCCAGGAAUCGGGACGUCCUCCGACUCCCCCUAAAAACUGAGCAAGACGGCGUCACCAUGAUUGACCCCCCGGGAGCACGUGCACAGCCGGCUCCCAACUUCCGAGUGCGUCCGGGUCACUGCGGCCACACCCCUGGUCACCCGCUAUGACGCCCGUUCUCUGGCCAGUCACGCUGAGCGAAUGGCCCGUCUUCCUAGUUGUGUGACUCUGUAGGUGUCUGUGUGACACCUGCCCUCGUUCUGGCUGCACAACACGUUUGCCUUCUUUAUUUUCCUCUGA